UACGGGGGGGGGAAGCGUUGUUCGGAAUUACUGGGCGUAAAGGGCUCGUAGGCGGCCAACUAAGUCGGACGUGAAAUCCCUCAGCUUAACUGGGGAACUGCGUCCGAUACUGGAUGGCUUGGAUUUGGGAGAGGGAUGCGGAAUUCCAGGUGUAGCGGUGAAAUGCGUAGAUAUCUGGAGGAACACCGGUGGCGAAGGCGGCAUCCUGGACCAAUAUUGACGCUGAGGAGCGAAAGCUAGGGGAGCAAACGGG
RNAcentral lists this ribosomal RNA (253 nucleotides) under uncultured bacterium. Its description in RNAcentral is "partial 16S ribosomal RNA". It matches the Rfam family "Bacterial small subunit ribosomal RNA", at positions 524 to 776 of the family's 1533-position model. The record is from RNAcentral.